GACGAACGCUGGCGGCGUGCUUAACACAUGCAAGUCGAACGGUGAAGCGCCUUCCUUUUUGGUGGGUGUGGAUGAGUGGCGAACGGGUGAGUAACACGUGAGUAACCUGCCCCCUUCUUCUGGAUAACCGCAUGAAAGUGUGGCUAAUACGGGAUAUUCUGGGUCUGUCGCAUGAUGGGUCUGGGAAAGAUAUUGUUUCGGUGGGGGAUGGGCUCGCGGCCUAUCAGCUUGUUGGUGGGGUGAUGGCCUACCAAGGCGGUGACGGGUAGCCGGCCUGAGAGGGUGGACGGUCACACUGGGACUGAGACACGGCCCAGACUCCUACGGGAGGCAGCAGUGGGGAAUAGGGCACAAUGGGCGCAAGCCUGAUGCAGCGACGCCGCGUGAGGGAUGGAGGCCUGCGGGUUGUGAACCUCUUUCGCCAGUGAAGCAGGCCUGCCUCGUUUGUGGGUGGGUUGACGGUAGCUGGAGAAGAAGCGCCGGCUAACUACGUG
RNAcentral lists this ribosomal RNA (494 nucleotides) under uncultured bacterium. RNAcentral's name for it is "partial 16S ribosomal RNA". It matches the Rfam family "Bacterial small subunit ribosomal RNA", at positions 28 to 507 of the family's 1533-position model. The record is from RNAcentral.